UAGCAUUUUACAUUUCUCCUGUGCUUCUGUC
Molecule: non-coding RNA, 31 nt
Filed under: Mus musculus (house mouse)
Lineage: Eukaryota; Metazoa; Chordata; Mammalia; Rodentia; Muridae
Source: RNAcentral